RNAcentral lists this ribosomal RNA (1904 nucleotides) under Salmonella enterica subsp. enterica serovar Urbana. RNAcentral describes it as "partial 23S ribosomal RNA". It matches the Rfam family "Bacterial large subunit ribosomal RNA", at positions 1047 to 2925 of the family's 2925-position model. Lineage: Bacteria; Pseudomonadati; Pseudomonadota; Gammaproteobacteria; Enterobacterales; Enterobacteriaceae. The record is from RNAcentral.
CCAAAGUCAUGGUUAAGUGGGAAACGAUGUGGGAAGGCCCAGACAGCCAGGAUGUUGGCUUAGAAGCAGCCAUCAUUUAAAGAAAGCGUAAUAGCUCACUGGUCGAGUCGGCCUGCGCGGAAGAUGUAACGGGGCUAAACCAUGCACCGAAGCUGCGGCAGCGACGCUGAUGCGUUGUUGGGUAGGGGAGCGUUCUGUAAGCCUGCGAAGGUGUGUCGUGAGGCAUGCUGGAGGUAUCAGAAGUGCGAAUGCUGACAUAAGUAACGAUAAAGCGGGUGAAAAGCCCGCUCGCCGGAAGACCAAGGGUUCCUGUCCAACGUUAAUCGGGGCAGGGUGAGUCGACCCCUAAGGCGAGGCCGAAAGGCGUAGUCGAUGGGAAACGGGUUAAUAUUCCCGUACUUGGUGUUACUGCGAAGGGGGGACGGAGAAGGCUAUGUUGGCCGGGCGACGGUUGUCCCGGUUUAAGCGUGUAGGUGUGUGUUCCAGGUAAAUCCGGUUCACUUUAACACUGAGGCGUGAUGACGAGGCACUACGGUGCUGAAGCAACAAAUGCCCUGCUUCCAGGAAAAGCCUCUAAGCAUCAGGUAACAUCAAAUCGUACCCCAAACCGACACAGGUGGUCAGGUAGAGAAUACCAAGGCGCUUGAGAGAACUCGGGUGAAGGAACUAGGCAAAAUGGUGCCGUAACUUCGGGAGAAGGCACGCUGACACGUAGGUGAAGUGAUUUACUCAUGGAGCUGAAGUCAGUCGAAGAUACCAGCUGGCUGCAACUGUUUAUUAAAAACACAGCACUGUGCAAACACGAAAGUGGACGUAUACGGUGUGACGCCUGCCCGGUGCCGGAAGGUUAAUUGAUGGGGUCAGCGCAAGCGAAGCUCCUGAUCGAAGCCCCGGUAAACGGCGGCCGUAACUAUAACGGUCCUAAGGUAGCGAAAUUCCUUGUCGGGUAAGUUCCGACCUGCACGAAUGGCGUAAUGAUGGCCAGGCUGUCUCCACCCGAGACUCAGUGAAAUUGAACUCGCUGUGAAGAUGCAGUGUACCCGCGGCAAGACGGAAAGACCCCGUGAACCUUUACUAUAGCUUGACACUGAACAUUGAGCCUUGAUGUGUAGGAUAGGUGGGAGGCUUUGAAGUGUGGACGCCAGUCUGCAUGGAGCCGGCCUUGAAAUACCACCCUUUAAUGUUUGAUGUUCUAACGUGGACCCGUGAUCCGGGUUGCGGACAGUGUCUGGUGGGUAGUUUGACUGGGGCGGUCUCCUCCUAAAGAGUAACGGAGGAGCACGAAGGUUGGCUAAUCCUGGUCGGACAUCAGGAGGUUAGUGCAAUGGCAUAAGCCAGCUUGACUGCGAGCGUGACGGCGCGAGCAGGUGCGAAAGCAGGUCAUAGUGAUCCGGUGGUUCUGAAUGGAAGGGCCAUCGCUCAACGGAUAAAAGGUACUCCGGGGAUAACAGGCUGAUACCGCCCAAGAGUUCAUAUCGACGGCGGUGUUUGGCACCUCGAUGUCGGCUCAUCACAUCCUGGGGCUGAAGUAGGUCCCAAGGGUAUGGCUGUUCGCCAUUUAAAGUGGUACGCGAGCUGGGUUUAGAACGUCGUGAGACAGUUCGGUCCCUAUCUGCCGUGGGCGCUGGAGAACUGAGGGGGGCUGCUCCUAGUACGAGAGGACCGGAGUGGACGCAUCACUGGUGUUCGGGUUGUCAUGCCAAUGGCACUGCCCGGUAGCUAAAUGCGGAAGAGAUAAGUGCUGAAAGCAUCUAAGCACGAAACUUGCCCCGAGAUGAGUUCUCCCUGAGACUUAGAGUCUCCUGAAGGAACGUUGAAGACGACGACGUUGAUAGGCCGGGUGUGUAAGCGCAGCGAUGCGUUGAGCUAACCGGUACUAAUGAACCGUGAGGCUUAACCUUACA